This 2920-nucleotide long non-coding RNA is filed under the name Felis catus (domestic cat). RNAcentral's name for it is "lncRNA (ENSFCAG00000053231.1)". The record is from RNAcentral. Lineage: Eukaryota; Metazoa; Chordata; Mammalia; Carnivora; Felidae.
AUCCGGGCAGUGACUUUCCUUCUUCGUGUGGCCCGUACCAGGCACUGUGCCUGGAACAGAGUAAGUGUUCCAAGAAUGCUUGCUGGCUGGAUACCAGGAAUCCUCUCCUUUUCCCACAUUUGGUUAUAACUGUCUAAUUUGGGGGUGCUGAAUACUCAGUAAAUAGCACCCCCUUCUCUUUGCAGAAAUGGUGAGGGUUCCACGGGAUUCUCUGACAGGCUCAGGAGUAAGUGGCCUGGUGACCUGUGGAGGGCCUCUCCCAGCACUGGGACUGUGCCCCGGCUGACCCGCUCCCCUGCCUCCACUUUUCCCACUGGGUUUUAGAGGCCCUUUGGGUGUCAGAUUUGCAUGCAAACCCGGGUUCGUGGAAGCAAGUGGGGGCGUUUUGGGUUGUCACAGUUGCUAGGGAAAGGGCUGACCUACCGAGCUCGGCCGGGCAGGAGCCAGAGGUCCUGCAUAUCUUGCAACAUCUCCGACGGUGCCACGCAAUGAAAGUUACCCUGGACACGAUGCCAGUGUGCCCGCUGUUGAAACAGCCCAGAGUCCGUAGGGUUCACACCCAGAAAAGCUGGCUCUGGGACGACUGGCGGGCACGGUUUAGAGAAGCGUCUGGCCCUGACGUGCCAGCCAGCGUUGGUGCCAGGAGCAGCGAGUCCUGACAGAUCCGAGCUCCUCGGAUCCUUGGACGGAAUGUGCUGAGGGCUCGAAUUACCGUGAAGAGAGCAAGCCACACGCCUUUUGGGUAAAUCCGCUGCAGUCACCCCUGGGCUCGCCUUUCUAAUCACCGCCUGAACACAAGGAGCAGACCGCGCCCCAUUGACACAGGCCCUGGGCUUCCUGGGGAUGGUCCCCUGGGAAGGAGGGAGUCACGUUCUGAGUUACUGCCUGUCCAGGUUUGGGCUUUGAGGGCAGAGGGGCUGGCUCCUCCCCGAGUGUCCCCAGCGCAGACAGGGCUCCCCCACCCUUGCAUCAAGCCAAAGCCUUGGCCUGUCCGGGACUCCUCGUUUAGCCUCUAUUCAAUUCAUCCAAAAGUCUGAGGACCGACUGCCCCGGUUUGCCUGAAACCAAGGGGGUUCCCGGGAUGUAGACUUUCAGCGGUGACCCCAAGAUAUCCCGGCCAGAGCAGGACAAGCUGGUCACCCUCUCCUGCGCAAAAGCCGCUGAGCUGGAGAGGGGCCGGAGGCAGAGAUGAUAGCCAGAGUAAAGAAUUUCACUCUAGACAGGAUGGGGAGACACCGCGGGGAUUUACGUAGGGUCCAAAUCUGACCUGGUGUGAUGCAUUUUCCUAAGCAACCCCUGGUGGCAGCGUGGUGAACCAGAGUGGAAAGCCGGAGACCGGUGAGGGAGCUGGUGCUCAUCCGGGUGAGCAAGCCUGGUGGCUCGGACCAGAGCGGUUACAGUGGACGUUGUGGUGUGCCACCCGCCUCCCCUCCAGGAGCCCGGAGCUCGUUCCCCUGGUGGCCGGGAGUGCUGGCUGUGGACAGCUCGCUCCCCUAUACGUCCCAUGACUGGUUGACUUGGGUGUUCAGACCCUGCUCCCUGCCCUCAGCUGAGAACAGCAUCGCAGGGCCGCCCCGCCCCAGGGAUCCAGUGGGGUCUGCUUCAUCCCUCUCUGCCUCCUUUGCUUCUUUGCCAGUGCUAUUCUGGAGACUUCUCCGGCAACUCGUCUCCUGGCUACCCCCCAUCUCAACCUCCAGCUCCUGGUAAACCUGACCUGGGACAGUGGUACAGUGAAUGUGGGAAGAAAGAGUUGUGCGCGUGCGCUCCUGUAAGAGCGUGCAUGUAUGUAUACACACAUUUUAUAAGGUAAAAUUUGUAUACGGUAAACGCACAAAAUCUUAAAUAUACGGGGUGCUGAAUGUUGAAAUACGUAUUUAUCUUCAUAACCCCCACUCAGAUCAAAACAUGUAUUUCUGGGGCUCUGGGGAGGCUCAGUCAGUUGAGUGUCUGACUUCAGCUCAGGUCGUGAGCUCAGGGUUUGUGAAUUUGAGCCCCGCGUCAGGAUCUCUGCUGUCAGCACGGAGCCUGCUUUGGAUCCUCUGCCCGCCCCCUUUGCUCUUCCCCCACUCUUGCUCCCUCUCUCAAAAAUGAAUGUUUAAACGACAACAAAAACAUAUACAGUAAAACCAUGGUUUACGAGCAUAAUUCAUUCUGGAAACGUGCUUGUAAUCCAAAGCACUUGUAUAUCAAAGUGAAUUUCAAGAACCAUUGGCUCAGUUGUGAUCAUGUGACAUUUGUCAUCACGUAUCAGUCAUAUUGCAAGACCACUUGUUCGUCAAGUUAAAACUUAUUAGAAAUGGUUUGCUCAUCUUGUGGAACACGCACAGAACAAGUUACUCAUUAUCCAAGGUUUAACUGUAUUUCCUUCACUCCUAGAAAUUUCCUUGUGACCUUUUCCAGUUCAUAAUAUCCCUCCAGGUAGCUACCGUCUGACUUCUACAAUAAUCUGAUCAAAGAUGAGUUUUUGUUUGCCCUUGAACUUCAUAUAAAUGGAACCGUGAGUAGGCACAUUUUGCCGAACAUCACACUUUUGAGAUUUUUCUUAAUGUUUCUGGGUUUAUCAGAUCUUUUUUAUUUCUGAGGAAUGUAUGCUUCUUGUAAACAGUUUGUAGUUGGGUUUAUUUUUUGUUGUUUUAUUUAUUUUAAUCUUCCUUGACCAUCUCUAUCAUAUAAGUGAGGUAUUUAGUUGUCUCAUCUUUGUUCUGUCCGGCCUCCUUGUCUGCCUUCCUUUGAUUAAUCAAGUGUCUUUAUUACUCCGUUGUGUUUCCUGUAUAGUCUUCACACCUAACCCUUUCAGUUAAUAUUUUUGAGGUUGCUCCAGAAACUGUAGGUAUACAUUCUUAAUUUAUUGCAAUUACUUUUAACUUGGUUCCAUAGUCAUUCAUGCAGCAAAUAAAAGCUUUACAGCAGUAUAAUUCCA